ACGAUUUGGGAUUUGCCGUUCUCCACAAGCCUCGAUUUCGAUCGCGUUUGUCCGUGACCGAGGACCAAGACUUUCGAGACGAAAUCCCAGGAAUGUAAGUCGUGUCUCGAACCCCGCGGGAGUAAUUCUCAUCGAAAUUUCACGGUACCCGCGAUAAAAACGGCGAGAAAAGUGCGCGGUAACGUAUCGGGUCGCCGAUGAAGAGUUACAAGGCGGCUAUUGCAACGAGAAAAGGAUUGCAUUAGCCGGCCAUGCCCUGGGACUGGGCAGCUAAAGGCCAGAAAUAGACCCGGUUCCAUGUAUUCACGCGGCUCGAACAUCGGUUCUACGUCCAUGUGGCCUCUCUCGUGUUCUCUAUUUACGGGGCUUGCCGUGACUACCAUGUGGUCGCCAGCUUUAUUUAAAUCGACAAAAUAUUUCGAGCCGUUCCCAGGCCUCGUUCGUCUCUCCCGCAGAGUUCUCCACACGUAAGCUAGAGAUUUUCUUAUUGCAGAUGUUACGGCUAGUCGGUGUGAAACGAGGAAAAAGUGCUCUGAUAUCGGCUGCAGUGCAACGCGCGCGAAUAGGAAAUGAAUCAGUUUGAACGAGUGCACGGAUCGGGUUGACGGAAGGGAGGAAGAAAGACGAACUGGGAGGGAGAAAUUGGAAGGAGAUGGCACAUUCAACGAAGUCAAAAAUAGGACGUACGCACGGUCGCUACCAUAUUUCCAUAAAUGAGUUCUCCGGUUACAGGGUCUAUUUCCGGUCCGGCGAUGGCAACCGAAGUCGCAGCCAAGUAGAAGCGAUCGCGAAGAUACUUCGAAGAUCCUCGAUCACGAGCCACAGCAGAUUUAAGACAUUUAACUCGCGCGAAAACAGGAAGAUUGCGAGGACUGUGAUUACGUGGGAGGCUUGGAAAGUGUAGUGAGGAUGAGUGACCUUUACGAAGAUGACCGAUUUCUGGAAUGGAUCGAUAACGGCGAAACUUGAUUUUCCAAGGAAAAUUACCAGACAUCCAGCUACUCCUAGUCGCAUGUCCCGGACAGAGGAAGCAUCUGGCUCUUCGUAGAGUCUGCAUUUGCUCAAGGACGUCAUACAAGUGCUCGGUAAGCACACCGGGGCUCCUAUGAGGUUUUAAUCGUACACAGUCAUCGAGAAUUCUCGGGUCACGUUUGCCAGGUUACUAGAAAUUAGCCCUCGCUAAGGUGGAUCGAACGCGUUUAGGGAGAACAAGGUUCAAAGAGCUGGUCUUACUAGCAAAAGAUAAUUCUGUACUCCAACAUCCAGAGAAUCAUAAAUAUACACGACUUUAUAAAAGAUGUCCUGACUUUUCUGUAAUUCCAAAGUUAUGCUAUUAAAAGGCGAGGUUGUUCCAAGUAUCUCUAACGUUUCAACCAUUUCAUUCUGGUCGUUUCCAGAAACAGUAUAAUAAAAAUAUUAGUCUUGAAAGAGCAACAAUGUAUAACAC
This is a long non-coding RNA of Colletes gigas, 1447 nucleotides long. RefSeq lists it as uncharacterized. The transcript is spliced from 3 exons. NCBI's taxonomy places the organism in Eukaryota, Metazoa, Arthropoda, Insecta, Hymenoptera, Colletidae. The record is from RefSeq and is a predicted model, not a curated record.